Molecule: ribosomal RNA, 402 nt
Filed under: uncultured bacterium
Lineage: Bacteria
Description: bacterial SSU rRNA
Rfam family: Bacterial small subunit ribosomal RNA
Source: RNAcentral
UGGGGAAUCUUAGACAAUGGGCGCAAGCCUGAUCUAGCCAUGCCGCGUGAGUGAUGAAGGCCUUAGGGUCGUAAAGCUCUUUCGCCAGGGAAGAUAAUGACGGUACCUGGUAAAGAAACCCCGGCUAACUCCGUGCCAGCAGCCGCGGUAAUACGGAGGGGGUUAGCGUUGUUCGGAAUUACUGGGCGUAAAGCGCGCGUAGGCGGACUGGAAAGUUGGGGGUGAAAUCCCGGGGCUCAACCUCGGAACUGCCUCCAAAACUGUCAGUCUGGAGUUCGAGAGAGGUGAGUGGAAUUCCGAGUGUAGAGGUGAAAUUCGUAGAUAUUCGGAGGAACACCAGUGGCGAAGGCGGCUCACUGGCUCGAUACUGACGCUGAGGUGCGAAAGUGUGGGGAGCAAACA